CGGGGGGGGCAAGCGUUGUUCGGAAUUACUGGGCGUAAAGGGCUCGUAGGUGGCCAACUAAGUCCGACGUGAAAUCCCCAGGCUCAACCUGGGAACUGCGUCGGAUACUGGAUGGCUCGAAUUCGGGAGAGGGAUGCAGAAUUCCAGGUGUAGCGGUGAAAUGCGUAGAUAUCUGGAGGAAUACCGGUGGCGAAGGCGGCAUCCUGGACCGACAUUGACGCUGAGGAGCGAAAGCUAGGGGAGCAAACGGGAUUAGAUACCCCGGUAGUCCUAGCCCUAAACGAUGAAUGCUUGGUGUGACGGGUAUCGAUCCCUGUCGUGCCGAAGCUAACGCAUUAAGCAUUCCGCCUGGGGAGUACGGUCGCAAGGCUG
Molecule: ribosomal RNA, 372 nt
Filed under: uncultured organism
Description: bacterial SSU rRNA
Rfam family: Bacterial small subunit ribosomal RNA
Source: RNAcentral